RNAcentral lists this ribosomal RNA (409 nucleotides) under Fusobacteriota bacterium. RNAcentral's name for it is "Fusobacteria bacterium partial 16S ribosomal RNA". It matches the Rfam family "Bacterial small subunit ribosomal RNA", at positions 355 to 776 of the family's 1533-position model. Lineage: Bacteria; Fusobacteriati; Fusobacteriota. The record is from RNAcentral.
UGGGGAAUAUUGCACAAUGGAGGGAACUCUGAUGCAGCAACGCCGCGUGCGGGAUGACGGCCUUCGGGUUGUAAACCGCUUUCAGCCAUGACGAAGCUUUUGUGACGGUAGUGGUAGAAGAAGCACCGGCUAACUACGUGCCAGCAGCCGCGGUGAUACGUAGGGUGCGAGCGUUGUCCGGAAUUAUUGGGCGUAAAGGGUGCGCAGGCGGCUUUACAAGUUGGAUGUGAAAUAUUGUGGCUCAACCACAAACGUGCAUCCAAAACUGCAAAGCUUGAGUUAAGGAGAGGUAAGUGGAAUUCCUGGUGUAGCGGUGGAAUGCGUAGAUAUCAGGAGGAAUACCGGUGGCGAAGGCGACUUACUGGACUUAAACUGACGCUCAGGCACGAAAGCGUGGGGAGCAAACAGG